RNAcentral lists this ribosomal RNA (253 nucleotides) under uncultured Parabacteroides sp. RNAcentral's name for it is "partial 16S ribosomal RNA". It matches the Rfam family "Bacterial small subunit ribosomal RNA", at positions 524 to 776 of the family's 1533-position model. Lineage: Bacteria; Pseudomonadati; Bacteroidota; Bacteroidia; Bacteroidales; Tannerellaceae. The record is from RNAcentral.
UACGGAAGGUCCGGGCGUUAUCCGGAUUUAUUGGGUUUAAAGGGAGCGUAGGCCGGUCUUUAAGCGUGCCGUGAAAUUUUGUGGCUCAACCAUAAAAUUGCCGUUGAAACUGGAAGACUUGAGUGUGUUUGAGGUAGGCGGAAUGCGUGGUGUAGCGGUGAAAUGCAUAGAUAUCACGCAGAACUCCGAUUGCGAAGGCAGCUUACUAAGCCAUAACUGACACUGAAGCACGAAAGCGUGGGGAUCAAACAGG